RNAcentral lists this transfer RNA (76 nucleotides) under Acidobacteriota bacterium. RNAcentral's name for it is "tRNA-Thr". It matches the Rfam family "tRNA". Rfam says of the family: Transfer RNA (tRNA) molecules are approximately 80 nucleotides in length. Their secondary structure includes four short double-helical elements and three loops (D, anti-codon, and T loops). Lineage: Bacteria; Pseudomonadati; Acidobacteriota. The record is from RNAcentral. RNAcentral also lists the same sequence under 2 other names.
GCCGGCGUAGCUCAGUUGGCAGAGCAACGGUUUCGUAAACCGUAGGUCGGGGGUUCGAUUCCCUUCGCCGGCUCCA